GCUGGCAGCUAGCUCUCUGUAACUUUCACAUGGUCACACACUGAAGUUAAGCAGAGUUGUGUCCGGUCAGUACCUGGAUGGGCGACCACGUGCGAGAGCUAGGUUGCUGUUGGAA
This 115-nucleotide ribosomal RNA is filed under the name Danio rerio (zebrafish). The record is from RNAcentral. Lineage: Eukaryota; Metazoa; Chordata; Actinopteri; Cypriniformes; Danionidae.